Equus caballus (horse) is the source of this 3847-nucleotide long non-coding RNA. Lineage: Eukaryota; Metazoa; Chordata; Mammalia; Perissodactyla; Equidae. The record is from Ensembl.
GAGGGGUUGGUCCCUGCAGCUGUGCAUUCACGUGCCAUUAAGGUGACCAGUCAGUUUGUGCAACAUGGAAUAACCAGAAGACGAGAGGGCCACUGCAAGGACUGAGUGGAUGGAUUUUGUGCACCUGCUCCAUGCCCUUGGCCCAGCUCUACUUUCAGCUUCAGCGCUGGAGGACAGCUCCCACGGACACAGGCAGCAUUCUACCUCAAGUACCUGCUCUGUAUCUCCACUUUCACACCUCAGUAUGUUUUUCUGAAGGCACAGGGCAGCCUGGGAGAGCAGAGAAGUUAACAAACUCUGAGGCAACUCUCAAUGGAUAGGAGAUGGGGGCCAGUGAACGAAGACCCCAGCUUCCUGCCCCUCAGAGGGACAAUUCUGAGGUGCAAUGCUGCUCCUGAAAGGGUCACCUAUAGGGUUGAGCCCCAGGUCCCCACAGCAUUAACCAGCUCAGAGCUACUCUUUAGUGAUGGUUACUUUUUUCCUGUCUCACUCCCACUACCCCCUUACUCUUACUUCCGGGGAUUACGUCCCGAGUAAGCUCCCUGCAUCCAAGUCCUCAGAUAUUGCAUUUGAGGGGACCCAAAUUCAGACACUCGAUGACCUUGAGUGUCAGAUGUUUGGAGUACUAAACAUUGGCAAGUGGAAAUAUAGCUGAUUUCUUUCUCCCAUUAUCUUGUUUCUGCUCAUCCACAGUUAAGGGACUAUAAGUGUCAAACUCAGAGGAAGCAAGAAAGUAGGUGGUAGAAGGCCAACCCCAGUGACCUAAUGGUUAAGUUUGGCACACUCAGCUUCAGCGGCCUGGAUUCAGUGCCAGGGCACGGACCUACGUCACUCAUCUGUCAGUGGCCAUGCUGUGGCAGCAGCUCAGCUACAAAAAAAGAGGAAGAUUGGCAGUGGCAAUGGAUGUUAGCUCAGGGUGAAUCUCCCUCAGCAAAAAAAAAAAAAAAAAAAAAAAGGUAGAUGGUAGAAAGAGAUUUUAAUGCUACCUUUAGAGUAGCUAGAGGAAUUAAAAAGUAGGAAAGGCAAGAUCUGGGGCAAAAGCAUAUGAUAGAGAUCAUCACUUUUAUUUGAAUUCUGGAGUAAGUGCUAGCAGCAGCAGUGCUGAGACUUUGCCAACCAUGGGAAAUAUUAAAUUUUAGAUCUUUGCCAGUCAUAUGAGGUUAAGAAUAAUGUUACCAUAUUUAUUGUUUUAAUUCAUGUCUUUAAUAAUUAUAAAUGGAGUAGAGCAUUUUCCCUUGCAUUUAUUAAUUAUUGUUAUUUUUUUCUGUAAGCCGGAUAUUCCACAAAUUAUUUAACAAAUUACGUCGAUGAUAGAUAUUCAGGUCAAUCUUUCUUUUUAACUAUUGUAAGAAAUGCUACAAUAUGGAUAUGAAAAAAUAUUCAAUCUUCCUCUUAACUGGAGUUCAGCAAAUUGAAAGAACAAUGUCAUUUUUCCUAUACAUUUUUGGUGUAAAUAUUGAAAUGUUUGGUAAUACCCCAUGUAUACAGUUUUUGCAGGGAAAUUGGCACUGAGAUUGACAAUGCCAAUUGAUACGUUGUUUUAAAGGACAUGUGAACAGGGGCUGGCCCCGUGGCCAAGUGGUUAAGUCCGCGCGCUCCCCUGCCGGUGGCCCAGUGUUUCAUUGAUUCGAAUCCUGGGCGUGGACAUGGCACUGCUCAUCAAACCACGCUGAGGCAGCAUCCACAUGCCACAACUAGAAGGACCCACAAUGAAGAGUAUACAACUACGUACCAGGGGGCUUUGGGGAGAAAAAGGAUAAAAUAAAAUUUUUAAAGGACAUGUGAACAAUUUCUACCCAAAUUUAAGACGUGCCUAUCCGUUAUUGCAGCAUUUCAAGAAAAUUUGUCCUGCAAAUAUACUCUCAUGAGGUCCUAAAUAUUAUGCUUUAUUGAGUGUUUGUAUGUAUGUAGGUGUGUUUGGGUGUAUGUGUGCAUGCAUGCUAGUCCAUACGUGAAGAAAAGACUAGCCAAGAUGGAGUAAUAAUAAAGAUUUCUGGCUCCUUCCCGAACCUAAUCCUGGAGAUGCUGCAGAGAGAGAGAGAGAGAGAGAGAAAUUCAUGGAUCCUAGAACCUAACUACAACUACAGAAGUAGUUUGGAGAGAGAGAAAGGGGUUGAGUGUUUGCAUGAAAGGGAAAGAGAGGUCCACGUGCCACAGAUGACAGAUAGGCUGGGUGAGAACUUUAGAGUUGGCCCCUCUCUGCUGUUGCAGGGCAAGGAAACAACACUUCAGCCCAGCGCUGGUCUGAGGCAGUUGGAAUAAUAGCAAGGUAGGGCUGGAAUUCUGUGGGGGUUGGUGAGCUGAUGACAAGAACUGCAGGUGAGCUGGCUGGCCUCUAGACAAUCCCAAUAGAGGGGGCUAGCCCAUGGAGAGUGGCAUUGCCUGCAGCCUAGAAUCUGGUCCAUGCUCAGAAGAGGAGAGGGAAAGGGGUGCAAAAGGAAGUGACUGUGAACAAAUUGUUGCCGAGGCUCUCUGACCUGGAGAUCCUCUCCACAACCCACUUUACCAGGAGAAGUACAACCAAGGUCAAGGAUUGUGCACCGACUCCGUCUACUCCCUGACUUUACUCAUCACAGCCAAGAUAUCUCAUGGUUUCAAAGGAAUAUGAGUUCACAGGAAAAAAUAACAGGACACCAAAUUAAAUAACCCAUGCCAGAAGAGGUAGAAAUAACAGAUUGGACAGAAUUUUAAAAAAUUAAAAUAAGGAAAACAAAUACCCUGAGAGAAACAAGCAAAGAUCUUCGGAAUAUAAAAUAAGAAUAAGAAGUUUUGAAGGACCAUUUGGAGAUUUGGGGCAUGAAAAAUGUAUUGUAAAAAAUGAAAAACACGCUGUCAAUAGGUAAGUUGCGCAGCAGAAUGAAUAGAGCUAAAGAACAAAUUAGUGAACUGAAGGAUUCCAUCAAGGAACUCUCCCAGAAAGCAUUUGGGAGGGAUAAAUCUUUGGAAGAAAAGAGAAAAGUUAGUAUUAGAAUUCUAGGAGGAGUCUCAGAUGGAGAAAAAGAGUAAAUGGGGAAUAGGCAGUAAUUUGCCAGAAUUAAAAUGGGAGAUGGUGUUUAGCCAAACGGUCUGGACCCUUGGAGCCCCAAGUUUCUGAGCUGUCACCAAGAGACUCUAAUCCAAAGAGGCACCCAGGUGACAGCGGGAUUCCUGAAGAUAUUCAAACACGGUAAUUUAUUAUUAUUUAUCUACAAGAAACAAACUGUCUUUUGACCUUUCUAUUCCUGCAGGGCUAGUUCUGAGCUAUUGUAAUAGUUUUCAGCACAGAAGAAGAAUGCAGAAGGUGUAGCAAUUUCCAAUUGGAUUCCUUCUGGUCUGAUUUUGAUGGAUAAAGGGGUGCAAAUGAGACACAAGACCCUUGUUAAGCACUAUUCCCCUUGAUCACCCUGUUCAGACACCAAGAAUCUGGGCAGCAGCUGCAGACUUUAACUCUUUUGUUCCCUUGUGCAAUUUCCUUCUGGGCUCUUUUCCUCUUUUCUUAUCUGCUUUCUUUGCUCUUCUUGAUUUUGCCACAUUCUUUCUUCUUUUUUCUUAUGACCUCUCCUGCUGCUUCUUUCUGUAUUCUUCUCUUUCAUCAUUGCCACUUUCCCUUCUUCUUCACUAUUUCCAAAUUUAUUCAUUGAUACAUCCAUCUAUUCAACAAUUAUUUUGGGUACCUACCAUGUUCUAGGCACUAUUGAAGGCACUGGGGACACAGUGAAGAAGAUAGAAGAAAGAUACCUGAACCCACUCUAGUGAGAGGACAGAUAAUAAGCAAGUCAAUGAACAAAAAGAAAAAAGAAAAACCUAGAUACUAAUAAAUGCAAUGAAGAUAGUAGUGUGUGUUAGAGAGUUAUGGUGGGGGGGGGCG